UACGUCUCAGUUCGGAUUGGAGUCUGCAACUCGACUCCAUGAAGCUGGAUUCGCUAGUAAUCGCGCAUCAGCCAUGGCGCGGUGAAUACGUUCCCGGGCCUUGUACACACCGCCCGUCAAGCCAUGGAAGCCGGGGGUGCCUGAAGUGCGUGACCGCAAGGAGCGCCCUAAGGUAAAACCGGUGACUGGGGCUAAGUCGUAACAAGGUACC
Molecule: ribosomal RNA, 211 nt
Filed under: uncultured bacterium
Lineage: Bacteria
Description: partial 16S ribosomal RNA
Rfam family: Bacterial small subunit ribosomal RNA
Source: RNAcentral